UACGUAGGGUCCGAGCGUUGUCCGGAAUUAUUGGGCGUAAAGAGCGUGUAGGCGGUCAGGUAGGUCCGUUGUGAAAACUCGAGGCUCAACCUCGAGACGCCGAUGGAAACCAUCUGACUAGAGUCCGGAAGAGGAGAGUGGAAUUCCUGGUGUAGCGGUGAAAUGCGCAGAUAUCAGGAAGAACACCCGUGGCUAAGGCGGCUCUCUAGUACGGUACUGACGCUGAGACGCGAAAGCGUGGGGAGCGAACAGG
RNAcentral lists this ribosomal RNA (253 nucleotides) under uncultured bacterium. Its description in RNAcentral is "partial 16S ribosomal RNA". It matches the Rfam family "Bacterial small subunit ribosomal RNA", at positions 524 to 776 of the family's 1533-position model. The record is from RNAcentral.